RNAcentral lists this long non-coding RNA (1078 nucleotides) under Macaca mulatta (Rhesus monkey). RNAcentral's name for it is "lncRNA (ENSMMUG00000043490.2)". Lineage: Eukaryota; Metazoa; Chordata; Mammalia; Primates; Cercopithecidae. The record is from RNAcentral.
GUUCAAUACUUUUUGUAACUAAAAUAUAAUUUAAUAAGAAACUAAUUUUUGCAUAUUUUCCGAGUUUCCUUUAUUGGCUCACCUGGAAGCACAGUCAUGAUACUACUACAGAGCGUUUGUUAUUACACAAGGAAAUACUUAACCAAGAAGAAAGUUUAGCUUCUGAAAUAGUUUUAAAAAAAUGCUACCUAAAAAGUAUGAGGCAAAGAGAUGAAUAAUGUUAUUUGUUUGGAGGGAGAGGUGCAACCAAAUGUUAAUUAUUUGUGCCAUAAUGACAAGAAGUUCGUGAAUCGAGUUUACAUAUUUAUACAUCUAUGCUGGCUGAAGAUUUACAUCUUGUAUCCAAUGCAUGUUGCUGACGUUAUGCUCUGCAGAUUCUCAUUACACCGAGUUCUUCUGUGUUCAUCUGCUUCCUCAAGGCCAUGAUCCAUUACAUCUGUCUCAGCUCAGCUGAUGCUCUGGCAGUGGUUCUCUGCACUGAGCAUUGCUGCCACACACCUUUGGUCUUUAAACCUGAACUGAAAUGAAGCUUAAACUAAAAUGUAGAGGGCAAAUGGUGUGCAAAACAAAAUUUAAAUAGUAGUGAUUAAUCUUUCCAAUGAAGUUUUUUGGUUCUAGCCCAUUAAUUUUCAAUGAACGUUCAUUAAGUACUUAUCAUGUACUAGCCACCAUCUUACCUCCAAAAAUAAAGAUGAUAGAUAAAUGAUAUUUGGUUUCGGCACUCAUUUAAUAUUAUUGUGUGAGUAUAUGUAUGUGUAGACAAACUAAUAAUAUUAUGACAUGGAUAAUCACAUGAUCGUCGAAACUAUGUAGUGUGUGAGCCCAAAGAGCUGGAAGUAAAAGGUGGUAAUGAAUCUGCACCUUCUCAUCCCCCCAGUGACAUCACUAACACCCAAAUCCAAUCUCUGUGGAGUUAGAUCCAUGAAGGAAAGGAGACUUUGAUUUCACCAUGGUUCUACUCCCAGGCCCCUAAAAUUACCAAGCACUGAACAAAUAUGUGUUGAAUUAAUGAAUGAGUUAGAGUUGAACAAAAUUUAUAUUCUCAGUAAACUCAACCUCCUUAUUAAAAGACUCUUAA